UAAGUGCAUGGGCUCUGAAUUCAGAGUCUCAUGACAGAAGAAUCCCCACAGCUUAGCCUUUAAAUUGAUGAGAUAUGCUCUGUAUCCUGCAAUGCAGUCAACCUGUCGUGGUAGAGCAAGCUGGGCUGGUGACACAAAUGGCAAACAAGGAUCCCUGGGCUGGAACCUUCUGACAUACCUGACAGCACCACCUGGAAAAUGGGUGAUGAGUUUCAGAGAGACGAUCAGGGGGUGAGGAAUGAGAAGACUCUCCACCUGCAUUGUUGUUGACCAUGUCCAAGGGAGAGCUAGUCAGCGUCAUUUGCUUUCCUUUGGCUUCUUUCAAGAUUUCAUCAUUGCUCUUUCCUUGGAAUUUUGGCCCUGCCACUGUCACCAGAUGCCAGGUGUGUGCUGAAGAUAAAAGGACCUGCUUUCCACUCCAGCUUUCUCCCUGUUCUCUGUAUUCUGCUCUGUUCUGUGUGUGCCCUUCUCCCUCUCUGCCUCCUCUCUCUGCCUUCAUGUCUCUCUCUGCUCCCUGUCUGUCUGUCUGCCUGUCUACAUGUCCACUUGUCUGCUCUAUCCCUUCCCCAGAUCCUAAUUCCCUUCCACAAUAAACCUUGGAACCAUU
This 607-nucleotide long non-coding RNA is filed under the name Rattus norvegicus (Norway rat). RNAcentral describes it as "long non-coding RNA NONRATT015307". The record is from RNAcentral. Lineage: Eukaryota; Metazoa; Chordata; Mammalia; Rodentia; Muridae.